AUUAAAUAAAAGCUGCUUCUAACAAAUGCCAUUUCUGAUCCAUUUUUACUUUUUGUACAGGGGUUAAGAAACAUACAGAGUAUUUUUUUCUAUAUUAAUCCAAUAUUUUAAAUAUUCUACCCACCAUAUUUUGUGGGGGAUAUGUUCUUACAUCUACAUUUGUAUAUAUAAUAUUUGAAUAACAACAAAAUAUUGUUAACUGUUUUACUGUUAACAAAAUCCUCAGACACACCUAACAUGACAACGUUAUUUUGAUGUUAAUAUGGUGAACUUUCCCACUAAUAAUACUGAUGUCAUUUCAUGUUAAAUAUGUCGUUUUUGAGCACAGAUAACUUUGUGACGUCGUCGAUGUAUAGUGGUUGUGGUUUAUUGAGUAUUUUAUUAUGGCUCUAUUCAUAAUUCCAAAUGUAUUUGCAUAUAUCACAUACUUAUACGAGCUCAUUAAUGGAAUCCGUUUCGAGUGCGUGAAAUUGAAAAGGUUAACAUAUCGAUUAUUCUGUCUAGUGCACAACAAAUGAAAAAACAUGGUAACAAAGCAUUCAUUUUACUACAUAUAGUUAAUCUUUGCAUU
Molecule: long non-coding RNA, 571 nt
Filed under: Mytilus galloprovincialis (Mediterranean mussel)
Lineage: Eukaryota; Metazoa; Mollusca; Bivalvia; Mytilida; Mytilidae
Source: RNAcentral